UUUCCAGACUCCUACGGGAGGCAGCAGUGAGGAAUAUUGGUCAAUGGACGCAAGUCUGAACCAGCCAUGCCGCGUGCAGGAUGACGGCUCUAUGAGUUGUAAACUGCUUUUGUACGAGGGUAAACCCCGAUACGUGUAUCGGGUUGAAAGUAUCGUACGAAUAAGGAUCGGCUAACUCCGUGCCGGCAGCCGCGGUAAUACGGAGGAUCCGAGCGUUAUCCGGAUUUAUUGGGUUUAAAGGGUGCGUAGGCGGUUUGAUAAGUUAGAGGUGAAAUGUCGGGGCUCAACCCCGAAACUGCCUCUAAUACUGUUGGACUAGAGAAUAGGUGCGGUAGGCGGAAUGUAUGGUGUAGCGGUGAAAUGCUUAGAGAUCAUACAGAACACCGAUUGCGAAGGCAGCCUUCCGGCGCCCUACUGACGCUGAGGCACGAAAGUGCGGGGAUCGAACAGGAUUAGAUACCCCGGUA
RNAcentral lists this ribosomal RNA (467 nucleotides) under uncultured bacterium. RNAcentral's name for it is "bacterial SSU rRNA". It matches the Rfam family "Bacterial small subunit ribosomal RNA", at positions 328 to 792 of the family's 1533-position model. The record is from RNAcentral.